GGGUGCGAUCAUAGCAGCACUAAUGCACCAGAUCCCAUCAAAACUCCGCAGUUAAGCAUGCUCGGGUGAGAGAAACUUUAAGAUGGGUGACCUCCUGGGAAGUUAGAUUGUGUCAUGCA
RNAcentral lists this ribosomal RNA (119 nucleotides) under Cephalotus follicularis. The record is from RNAcentral. Lineage: Eukaryota; Viridiplantae; Streptophyta; Magnoliopsida; Oxalidales; Cephalotaceae.